GUUAGUUUCCAUUGCUAUUUUCGUUAUUCAUCCCCGCUCUAUUUUAUAACGGAGGCCACAUCACGGUCGGUUGGCCGCGGGCCAAAUCUACCGGAAAUGAGGUGAAUAGUUACGUGACACAUGUAGCGUCCACCGUUCCUUUUCGGAAGAUUCCGAUUCGGUAGUCUACCGUAUGACGUUCGAACGCCUGUGUCAUUCGAGAAGUAUGUUUUCUACCAUUCUUAUCUAGCCGUAAACAUUUUUCUCAUAAGAGUAAGCGAUGGUCGUUCUUGCGUUUGCUACUUUUCUAAACCUUCCUUUCGAAAUUCUAGAUUUUUUCGAUCAACUGCCUGUCAUCAACAUUUCACUGCCCUGCACCAACGAUUCGAUUCCAUUAAUCGAUAAAUUUUAUUAUUAUUUUGUUAAUAAAUCCGAGAAAGACAAUUUUUUUCCGGAACAGGAUAUUCUACGCUACUAUUCAUGAUCUUUAUCA
Molecule: long non-coding RNA, 472 nt
Filed under: Androctonus crassicauda
Lineage: Eukaryota; Metazoa; Arthropoda; Arachnida; Scorpiones; Buthidae
Source: RNAcentral